Molecule: ribosomal RNA, 253 nt
Filed under: uncultured bacterium
Lineage: Bacteria
Description: partial 16S ribosomal RNA
Rfam family: Bacterial small subunit ribosomal RNA
Source: RNAcentral
UACGUAGGGGGCAAGCGUUGUCCGGAUUUAUUGGGCGUAAAGAGCGUGUAGGCGGCCAGGUAGGUCUGCUGUGAAAACUCGAGGCUUAACCUCGAGAUGUCGGCGGAAACCAUCUGGCUAGAGUCCGGAAGAGGAGAGUGGAAUUCCUGGUGUAGCGGUGAAAUGCGCAGAUAUCAGGAAGAACACCAAUAGCGAAGGCAGCUCGCUGGGACGUUACUGACACUGAGGCGCGAAAGCGUGGGGAGCGAACAGG